Molecule: long non-coding RNA, 2626 nt
Organism: Pseudophryne corroboree (corroboree frog)
Lineage: Eukaryota; Metazoa; Chordata; Amphibia; Anura; Myobatrachidae
Exons: 3
Source: RefSeq, a predicted model, not a curated record
UGUACUGUUCUUAGUUUGGUAACGGCAUGUGUCAGGAAUACACGCUACUAUCGCUUGGACAGCAAUACAGAACUCAGGCUAACUCUUUAGGACCAUUUUAAGGAUUUAUUACUAUCUGGAAACCAUAGGAAGGGCAGUCGUCAAGCCUCCUCUGAUCAAUCACCCGGAACAGGAUAUAUGGAACAUCACCAUUUUUCCAGUAACCAUAAAAUGAAAUGAUAAAGGAAGUCAAUGGUUCUGUAACAUAUAGGUUAGCACCACCAUUGCUGGAUUAAUGACUUCAAAGGACUGCAGCAAAGCAUUAUGAUUGACCUACAGUAUCAUACCAUUUAACUAGUUUGACUUGUAUAACUUACUUCCAUCUCAGUCAUGCUAUCAAUAUAAGAUGAAUGCCCCAUACAUAAGCUGUACACACAGAGGACACAGCCAUUUUAUAGGCUGAACCAGUGCUCUUUAGAAUGAGACCUACUCGAAAGUCCUUAUCUGGUAACUACAGUAUGUGACUGCUACUUGUAAAGACCACAGCUCACCUGGUGAUAGGACUGUAUAUGAUCUAUUGGGGUUUCAAGUGAUCAUUACACCUAACACCUUAACAAGAUGUUUUGGGGUGACCACUUCCCCAUUCCUUUUAGCUUGCUGUAAUGCUGAGGAGUUUCCUCAUCAGGUAGGAACUCUUCAGCAGUCUCUACAGUGCUCCGAUUGGCUUAUGUAACAUCACAGUCACUCAGGCAAUAGUGUUAUAUCUUGAUGUACAUUUCUUUAUUUCAAUGAAUCAUGCAGUAUGAUGAUUAUGUAUUUUAUUUCUUAUUGGUAAUACUUGCAUGGUUACAGAUACUGUAGACAUCAAACCCACAUGGCUGCUCUCCUUCUCCUUCUCUCUCCCUUCCACUUCCUGAUCACAUGUUCAUCUGUGCAGCCAGAUUCUUAAAGUUACACUAACUCAUCUGGCUAAUGCACAUAAACUAUCUUCAUAGAUACUACAAAUAGGAGCACAUACAUGCCCCCUACAUACAUGCCCUAGAGAUGACCGUCAAAUGGUCCACCAUCCAUGGUGCCAAGAAACCAUCGUCUAGUUGGCAUAUAUUAUGACUUUGUCACACAUAGGGACUGAUUGUGACAAUGUGGACACAUACACCAAAGAAAGAAGUCAGCAAGUGCAAACGCUCCAAAUUAGACUUGAGCACAUGGAUGGAGUUUGCUAAUGCAUAAGGAUUGAUUCAUACUUGGAUAGAUCACACUAUCCAUAAGUUGGCGUUUUCUGGGCGGCUACUGGGAGGCCACCACAAGAUCACAUCAAACUUAUCCAUCUCAUUGGUGUGCGGUUAGCAUACCGACAGUCGGGAUCCUGGUGGUCACAAUACAGACUCCGUGAUCCUGACGGGGACACCAUACCGCCUCCGGUAUACUGACAAGGUAGGUGAUUCCCCCUCUAUGGGAGUCCAUGACACCCAUAGAGGAAGAUAGAACCUGUGGCAAGCGUAGUUGCCCUCACCACCCUGCCGGUUUCCCAACGCUCGGGAUGCUGAUGUCGGGAUAGUGACAUUCGGCAUCCCAGGCGGCGAUAUUACAUACCGAACCCAUCUCAUUAGACUCUUACAGGAAUGUCAAGGACUGGUUGGCCAACUUCAGUGCUCAUUUGCAGUGUGCAUAUGGAGAUGGAUGGAUGUUUCAGAUGGAUAUUUUGCACCCAGCAUGUGGUUUCCCAGAAAAGCAGCUGACUCCGAAUUAGCCCAAUAAUGUACAAUAUGUGGCACUGUCAGUGGAAUAUGUAAGAGUGCUAUUAUACAGCAUUUUAAUAGUUGUUAGAGUAGUGAUGACAUGGGCACAGACCAUUCCAUUGGGAAAUUCCUGUUUAGUCGCAUCUGAUGCGACUGCUGUCAAUGUGUACUGUACAGCAUACAAUAGUGAUAGAUGCAUGCCAUGCCAUUAGGGAAUCCCUUUUUGGUUGCAUUCAUCUGCAAUGCAACAAAUUCCUAACGUCAAUAAGCAUUGUGUGACAGUCUCCAUGUCAUGAGCAAGUCUGCAGUAUGCAUUUGUCAUCACAUUUUAAAGUUUAUCAUUGUAUAGUUUACUGUAUUGUUGGAUGCAAAACUACUGUAUAGCAGUACGUUUUAUGGUUUGUGGGUGAAACGGUGGGAAUACAGUAUUUACUAAAGUGCGGGUUUACAAAAGUGGGUAUGUUUUCCAUAGCAAUCCAAUCAUAUUCUGGCUAUUAUCUUUUAUAAUGUGCUAGAUAAAUAAGUACAAUCUGAUUGGUUGCUAUGGGAAACAUCUCCACAUUUGAAAUCCCGCACUUUAGUAAAUGUGGGGACAUUUACUAAGCAGUGAUAUGAGCGGAGAAGUGAGCCAGUGGAGAAGUGCCCAUGGCAACCAAUCAGCACUGAAGUAACAUCUAUAAUUUGCCUGCUAUAAAAUUAGACAGAGCUGCCUAUUGGUUGAUGGGGCAACUUCUCCACUGACCCACUUCUUCGCUCUUAUCCCUGCUUAGUAAAUUUCCCCCUAUAUCCCUAGACGUUAAUUGCUUGACAAUGGCUGUUUAACACACAUAUAGUACAUCAGCACCCCUGUCCUGGCAACUCAGUAAUGGUAAUAAUUUGUGUGAAUAAAGAUUCCUUAUUGAAGCUAA